UACGUAGGGGGCUAGCGUUGUCCGGAAUCAUUGGGCGUAAAGCGCGUGUAGGCGGUUCGGUAAGUCCGCUGUGAAAGUCGGGGGCUCAACCCACGGAAGCCGGUGGAUACUGUCGAGCUAGAGUACGGAAGAGGCGAGUGGAAUUCCCGGUGUAGCGGUGAAAUGCUCAGAUAUCGGGAGGAACACCAAUGGCGAAGGCAGCUUGCUGGGACGGUACUGACGCUGAGGCGCGAAAGCGUGGGGAGCAAACAGG
Molecule: ribosomal RNA, 253 nt
Filed under: uncultured bacterium
Lineage: Bacteria
Description: partial 16S ribosomal RNA
Rfam family: Bacterial small subunit ribosomal RNA
Source: RNAcentral